CUCUGUUUUCUCCCAAAUCAAUUCUUCAGAACCUAAAUAUUCACUUUCUAUCUCAUCAAAUACAAUAUUUUACAGGAAAACCCCAAUUCAAUAUCAACAAUUUUCACAUUAUUGGUUGAUCAGAGUUUGCAAAAGCAAGUUGUCCCCUCAAGUCGUUCAUAAUCAAGAAGAAGCUCGCGAAGAAGAUGAGGCAGAAUUGCCCCAUCCUGUACCAGAUGCGUACAAUGCGAAGCGCAGGCAUUAGCGCCAAGCUCGGGUUCUUA
This is a long non-coding RNA of Spinacia oleracea (spinach), 263 nucleotides long. RefSeq lists it as uncharacterized. The transcript has 3 exons. Lineage: Eukaryota; Viridiplantae; Streptophyta; Magnoliopsida; Caryophyllales; Amaranthaceae. The record is from RefSeq and is a predicted model, not a curated record.